This 441-nucleotide ribosomal RNA is filed under the name uncultured bacterium. RNAcentral describes it as "bacterial SSU rRNA". It matches the Rfam family "Bacterial small subunit ribosomal RNA", at positions 28 to 451 of the family's 1533-position model. The record is from RNAcentral.
GAUGAACGCUGGCGGCGUGCCUAACACAUGCAAGUCGAGCGAAGCGCUUAGAUUGGAUUCUUCGGAUGAAGAUCUUUGUGACUGAGCGGCGGACGGGUGAGUAACGCGUGGGCAACCUGCCUUACACAGGGGGAUAACAGUUAGAAAUGACUGCUAAUACCGCAUAAGACCGCAGUACCGCAUGGUACAGCGGUAAAAACUCCGGUGGUGUAAGAUGGGCCCGCGUCUGAUUAGGUAGUUGGUGGGGUAACGGCCCACCAAGCCGACGAUCAGUAGCCGACCUGAGAGGGUGACCGGCCACAUUGGGACUGAGACACGGCCCAGACUCCUACGGGAGGCAGCAGUGGGGAAUAUUGCACAAUGGGGGAAACCCUGAUGCAGCGACGCCGCGUGAGCGAUGAAGUAUUUCGGUAUGUAAAGCUCUAUCAGCAGGGAAGAAAA